Molecule: ribosomal RNA, 241 nt
Filed under: uncultured Staphylococcus sp.
Lineage: Bacteria; Bacillati; Bacillota; Bacilli; Caryophanales; Staphylococcaceae
Description: partial 16S ribosomal RNA
Rfam family: Bacterial small subunit ribosomal RNA
Source: RNAcentral
CGGACGGGUGAGUAACACGUGGAUAACCUACCUAUAAGACUGGGAUAACUUCGGGAAACCGGAGCUAAUACCGGAUAAUAUAUUGAACCGCAUGGUUCAAUAGUGAAAGACGGUUUUGCUGUCACUUAUAGAUGGAUACGCGCCGCAUUAGCUAGUUGGUAAGGUAACGGCUUACCAAGGCAACGAUGCGUAGCCGACCUGAGAGGGUGAUCGGCCACACUGGAACUGAGACACGGUCCAG